This 202-nucleotide long non-coding RNA is filed under the name Carica papaya (papaya). RNAcentral describes it as "long non-coding RNA (CPAP_LNC009284)". The record is from RNAcentral. Lineage: Eukaryota; Viridiplantae; Streptophyta; Magnoliopsida; Brassicales; Caricaceae.
UUCAUCAAAUUCCACUUAUGUUUCAUGUUUUCUUUCAACAAUCUGUAGUUAAUCACUAAGACAAUGUGUUAGGAGUUUUAAGAUUUUAUUUUCAAAAGUAAAACAACUUUUAAACUUGAAAUCUAACUCAAAAUCAUCACUAUGCUCUGCAAGCACAGCUACUGUGAGUUACAGAGAAGAAUUCUUAAAUUUCCAACAUUUU